Molecule: ribosomal RNA, 479 nt
Filed under: uncultured organism
Description: partial 16S ribosomal RNA
Rfam family: Bacterial small subunit ribosomal RNA
Source: RNAcentral
GUACACUCCUACGGGAGGCAGCAGUGGGGAAUAUUGCACAAUGGGCGCAAGCCUGAUGCAGCCAUGCCGCGUGUAUGAAGAAGGCCUUCGGGUUGUAAAGUACUUUCAGCGGGGAGGAAGGCGAUCAGGUUAAUAACCUUGUUGAUUGACGUUACCCGCAGAAGCAGCACCGGCUAACUCCGUGCCAGCAGCCGCGGUAAUAAGGAGGGUGCAAGCGUUAAUCGGAAUUACUGGGCGUAAAGCGCACGCAGGCGGUCUGUCAAGUCGGAUGUGAAAUCCCCGGGCUCAACCUGGGAACUGCAUUCGAAACUGGCAGGCUAGAGUCUUGUAGAGGGGGGUAGAAUUCCAGGUGUAGCGGUGAAAUGCGUAGAGAUCUGGAGGAAUACCGGUGGCGAAGGCGGCCCCCUGGACAAAGACUGACGCUCAGGUGCGAAAGCGUGGGGAGCAAACAGGAUUAGAAACCCCUGUAGGCCCAUGAU